UUAGAGGCUGGAUUUUUGCAUGUGAAUCCACAUGCAAAAGAAUGAAUUUAGAGCUGUACUUCACAGCAUAUAGAAAAAUUAACUCAAAAUGGACCUCUAAAGCUCUUAAAUGAAAACAUAAGGGUAAAUCUUUGUGACCUUGGAUUAGGCAACAGUUCUCUAGAUAUGACACCAAAAGCACAGGCAAUGAAAGGAAAAAAUAAACUGGACUUCAUCAAAAUAAAAACUUUUGUUUUUGGAAGAACACUAUCAUGAAAGUGAGAAGACCACCAACAGAACAGGAGAGGAUAUUUGCAAAUCAUAUAUCUGAUAAGGGAUUUGUAUCUAGAAUAUAUAAAGAACUCUUACAACUCAACAGUAAGACAAAUUGCCUAAUUAAAAAUAGGCAAAUGGACAUGUCUCCAAAGAAGAUACACAGAUGGCCAAUAAGCGUUUGAAAAAAAUGCUCAACAUCAUUACAGAAAACCACAAUGAGAUACCACUUUACACCCACUAGGAUGGCUACAGUCAAAAAGAUGGAAAGUAACAAGUGUUGGUGAGGAUGUGGAGAAAUUGGAGCUCUCAUACACUGCUGAUGGGAAUGUAAAAUGGUGCAGCCCCUCUGGAAAACAGUCCAGCAUUUCCUCAGACAGUGAUACAUAGAAUUACCAUAGUACAGUUAACUCCUCUCCUAGGUAUAAACUCAAAAGAAAUGAAAACGUGUUCAAAUAGGUAAUGGUACAUGAAUAUUCAUAGUAACAUUGUUCAUAAUAGCCAGAAAGUAGAAACAACCCAAAUGUCCAUUAGCUGAUGAAUCAAUAAACUAAAUGGGGUGUAUCCAUACAAUGGUAUAUUAUUCAUCCAUAAGAAGGAAGAGAGUACUGAUACAUGCUGUAACAUUGAGGAACCUUAAAAACAUGAUGUUUGGUUGCAAAGUUUCAGUAUGGAAGAUGAAAAUAGUUCUGGAGAUGGAUGGUGGCCAUAGUUAUGCAACAAUGUGAAUGUGCUUAAUGCCACUGAACUCUACACAUGAAAAUGGUAAGACAGUAAAUGUUAUGUAUAUUUUACAGUAAUAAUUUUUUUAAAACAUGCUAAGUGAAGGGAGCUGGACACAAAAGGCCAUAUAUUGUAUGAGUCCAUUUAUAUGAAAUGCCCAGAACAGGCAAAUCCAGAGACAGAAAAUAAACUAGUGGUGGCCUAGGACUGCAAGAGAUGGGAAUGGGGAGGAACUGCUAAUGGAUUUCGGGUUUCUUUUUGGGGUGAUGAAUGUUCUAGAAUUAGAUGGUGGUGAUGGACCUGUGAAUAUACUAAAAACCACUGAAACGUAGGCUUUUAAAUGGUGAAUUUUAUGGUAUGAAUCAUAGCAAUAAAAAAAUACAGGAUUUGUAGUUUCAUGCUAUAUUUGAAAGGAAAUUCAGUCCAGGCUGUUGAAUGGGGAAACAAUUUCUUUAACAUACAGCCUUCAAGCCAGCAGAGCAUGUGGAAGCCUUGAUCUUCUGAGGUGCUGGUGCUGUUUCUUGCCUUCCUGUAUCAAAGCUCAUUUUAGGAAAUGUGAUUUUAAAAUUGGACACCAUCCAAAGAUCAUGCCAAGAUGACAAAGGAUAUUAUUCAUGCAAGCAGUGCAAUUCCAAAGAUGUGAUCUGAGCUAUAGUUCUUUGUAUGUUUUUGAUUCCCUCUCUACUCAGAAGUGGUCCACAGGGCUUCCCUGGUGACGCAGUGGUUAAGAAUCCACCUGCCAAUGCAGGGGACAUGGGUUUGAGCCCUGGUCCGGGAAGAUCCCACAUGCCGCAGAGCAACGAAGCCCGUGCGCCACAGCUACCGAGCCUGCGCUCUAGAGCCCAGGAGCCACAACUACUGAGCCCGUGUGCCACAACUACUGAAGCCCAUGCACCUAGAGCCCGUGCUCCGCAACAAGAGAGGCCACUGCAAUGAGAAGCCCGUGCACCGCAACAAAGAGCAGCCCCGGCUUGUUGCAACCAGAGAAAGCCCACGUGCAGCAACAAAGGCCCAACGCAGCCAAAAAUAAAUUAAA
This is a non-coding RNA of Kogia breviceps (pygmy sperm whale), 2011 nucleotides long. Lineage: Eukaryota; Metazoa; Chordata; Mammalia; Artiodactyla; Physeteridae. The record is from RefSeq and is a predicted model, not a curated record.